GAUGAACGCUAGCGGGAGGCCUAACACAUGCAAGCCGAGCGGGAUUUGUUGGUUAGCUUGCUAACUAACAAUGAGAGCGGCGUACGGGUGCGUAGCACGUGUGCAACCUGCCUUUAUCUGGGGGAUAGCCUUUCGAAAGGAAGAUUAAUACCCCAUAACAUAUUGAUUGGCAUCAGUUAAUAUUGAAAGCUCCGGCGGAUAGAGAUGGGCACGCGUAAGAUUAGCUAGUUGGUGAGGUAACGGCUCACCAAGGCUGCGAUCUUUAGGGGGCCUGAGAGGGUGAUCCCCCACACUGGUACUGAGACACGGACCAGACUCCUACGGGAGGCAGCAGUGAGGAAUAUUGGACAAUGGGUGAGAGCCUGAUCCAGCCAUCCCGCGUGAAGGACUAAGGACCUAUGGUUUGUAAACUUCUUUUAUACAGGGAUAAACCUACUCUCGUGAGGGUAGCUGAAGGUACUGUAUGAAUAAGCACCGGCUAACUCCG
Molecule: ribosomal RNA, 487 nt
Filed under: uncultured bacterium
Lineage: Bacteria
Description: partial 16S ribosomal RNA
Rfam family: Bacterial small subunit ribosomal RNA
Source: RNAcentral